GACGAACGCUGGCGGCGUGCCUAAUACAUGCAAGUCGAGCGGACCAAAGGGAGCUUGCUCCUGGAGGUUAGCGGCGAACGGGUGAGUAACACGUGGGCAACCUGCCUGUAAGACUGGGAUAACAUCGAGAAAUCGGUGCUAAUACCGGAUAAUAAAAAGAACUGCAUGGUUCUUUUUUGAAAGAAUGGUUUCGGUCUAUCACUUACAGAUGGGCCCGCGGCGCAUUAGCUAGUUGGUGAGGUAACGGCUCACCAAGGCGACGAUGCGUAGCCGACCUGAGAGGGUGAUCGGCCACACUGGGACUGAGACACGGCCCAGACUCCUACGGGAGGCAGCAGUAGGGAAUCUUCCGCAAUGGACGAAAGUCUGACGGAGCAACGCCGCGUGAGUGAUGAAGGUUUUCGGAUCGUAAAACUCUGUUGUUAGGGAAGAACAAGUGCCGUUCGAAAGGGCGGCACCUUGACGGUACCUAACGAGAAAGCCACGGCUAACUACGUGCCAGCAGCCGCGGUAAAG
RNAcentral lists this ribosomal RNA (516 nucleotides) under uncultured bacterium. Its description in RNAcentral is "bacterial SSU rRNA". It matches the Rfam family "Bacterial small subunit ribosomal RNA", at positions 28 to 525 of the family's 1533-position model. The record is from RNAcentral.